UUUUAGGGGUAGAAAUAGGCCACAAAGUUAACGGUGGGGGCAUUUUCUUCGCCAAAGGUAAACGGAGGGCAAUUUUGUUCCGGAUUCGAUAGGUUGAGGGCAGUUUUGACCCUUAACCGUAUAAUAUAAAAUUAAAUGAAGAGAAGAGAAGAAAACUUAGUUAGGCGUCUCCUCCAAGAGUUUUUGUGUUCUCUCCUCUAUAUUGGUGUGUUUUCCUUCAAAGUAAGUUAGAUCCCCUCCAAAUUAUGUUUAGAACCCCUUUUAUGCGAGUUGGGUUAUGUAAGGCCCAAAAGGAUCUUCUCAAAGUCGAAAUAGGAAAAUUCCCAAGAUUGGGCACGCUGGGCAGUGCGUUGCACCAGCCUGCAUGCUGAAAAAUUUAGUCUUCUGUUUCUAGCGCCACAGGAGCGCAUCAUGCUACCCUGGAUGCUGGAAUUUGCCCUUGUCCAUUUUUCUUCUUUUUUAGCUCCAACUCAUGCGCAUUCAAUCUAUUUUACUCCCAAUUAAUUUCUAUACAUAUAAACAUAAAACGUUAGCUCCACUCAUUGCAAUUACACAUUAGAACAACAAAGAAUAGAGCAAAAUGUGAAGCGUAUAUAAAAUACAUGCUUUUGCCGAGUAUUAAUAUACGUACUAUAUUAUGCUGAAAUUUAUGCAUUAUUUUAUAUGAGAUUGAAUGUGAAAUAAAUGGAAUUUAUAUGUCAAGUAAAUGGUUGACUCUUUUGUAACAAAUUUAUCUCGACUCUUUUACAACACAACGAAAUUAUUGGUUUGCAAACUAAUGGCCUGUUUGGAAAGCAUUCUAUAAUUAUUAGGAUAAAUUACUCAGGAUUGUAAUUAUCAAGACUUGUUUUGUUUGCCACAAAGUAAUUACAAUGUAAUUCUUAGUGUCAUAUUUGAUUGUACAAGUGUAAUUUCAAAGUUAGAUAUUUUUUUACUUUAAAAUAAAUUUAAUAAUAAAAAGAUUAAUAAUUUUUCCCAUAUGAACAUGUAAAUAGUUUUAAUGUUUGACGAAUAUAUAUGGAUGUAAGAAAUAUCAAACAUUAUUAGCAGUUAUUAAAAUAAUAUUUUUGUAUAAUUAUAUAAAUAAUUAUAAAUAAAUAAUAAUUGGUACUUCUAAAUAAAUUAUAUUUUAACACAAAUUAAUUAAUAAAAAAUUCAAUGACAAAUUUAAAUCUCAGUUCAACUUAUGUGAAUAUAACAUGAAAUUCAUAAUUAUUGCAUUGUUUAAACUAUAAAAUAUAUUGAUAUAAAUUUACAAAGAAAAUUUUAAUAAUAAUUUUUUACACUAAUUAAUGGAAAUCAAUGCUAGUAAAAUGCGAAAAAGAGAACCAGAAUUUGUAUGCAAACAGAAUAAUUACUAUAGGUGAAUAAUAGUACUGGUGAGAAAAUAAGAAUCCCUAUUUGCAGAGUGCUAAUUAACGAAAAUUAGAAAAAAUUAAGAAGGAAGAAGGAACGAAUAUCACAUUGCUGAAAUGGAAGUGAUCAACUUUAGUAAGAAAAAGUGAGAAGAAUGAAGAAAUGGGAGAGUUUGAAACGGGAAAAGAAGAAUUGGAAAAUCAGAGAGUGUAAUUAUUUUCAUUCUUAGUUAUCUCUUGAGAAUUGUAUGAUGACCAAAUAAUUAUUUGACCAGAUAAAUAAGUAAAUUGUAUAACUACACUUAACUAUAUUAAUAUGCUCUAAAUAUAUUUAGUUCUUACUUACAUGUAUGGUAGAUGCGAUUUAUAUGGUGGUACGCGGUGUUACGGAACAUUGCUUCGUAGAAUUUUUUUACUAUUUAUAUAUAUAAAAAUAUUAAAUAAAAAAUAAAUACAAGAUAAAAUUAUUAAAAGCGACACUACAUGCAACAAAUAUCUUAGUAGUCUAGUGAUUGUUAGCUUCAAAUAUUAUAUAAGAGAUCUUGGGUUCGAAGUCCCUAGGUUCUACAAAUAUUUUUCGACUGUUACAAUUCUUUUACCAGAAAUAUUAUUUUCAAUUGAAUCCGCAGCCCAAAAGCUACCGCAUCUGCAAUUUAAACUACGUACAGACAUAUAUGUGCAUUAAUACGUCGCCGUCAUUUUUACAGAGUUGUGUGAGCAUGGUAAUUAUGGGCGUCUAACGGGCUGGGUCACCCGUUUCUCGACCGGCCCAAAUCGGAAUCGGCCUGACCCGAUAUAAGAAGGCUGGGUUGGGCUGGGUUAAACGGAUAGGGGUUGGUUCGUUUACUUAAGUUCUAUCGGUUAAUCGGAUCGGUCAAACCCGAUAAACCAAAAUCCCUGUAGAACCACUUAAUCGGCCUGGCCCGGACCGAUUCAAAGGCUAGAUUUUAAUUAUUUUUUUAUUUUUUUAAGAUUUUAGAGUCUUAGACAAUGUAAAACCUUUGAAUUUACUUUUUUUAAUUUAAUUUAUUUGUUGUUAAAUGUAAACCUUUUAGUUUAGUUUGAAUUUUGAAAUAAAUGUAACACUUGCAAUUUAUAAGUGCAAUUAUUUUUCCAUCUUCAUUAUAUUCUUUAUAUAUUUUACUUUAUAUUAAUAUAAAUUAUAAUAGUUAUAUAAAAUACAAAAAAAAUAAAAUUAAAUGGCCCGAUUCGAAACCUAUACGGUUCAAAAUUUUUCCUACCCAACCUGAUACGACCCACCCGUUAAACACCCUUAGCUGUAAUAUAGUGUAUUCAGUAAUUGACAUUAGAGAAGUCCUGAGUUUUGUGAAAAAGGUCUUCCAAGACUGUGAUUAAAACCUACGAACUCUUUUCCAGAAUAAAUCACGUUGAAUGGUACCUCCAUUUUCUCUUGACAACUAAUUAUUCCAUGCAAGUUUCAGUUAAAUAUGUAAUUAUCUUGUUCACGCUUUCUACCAACUUAGCAGCACAUCAAAUUUCAUGAACCAACAAAGCAAGUACCACACUUUUACUGGUCAAAAUUCGACCACACGUAAAUUAGUGCUAAAAGAAAUAAUAAGAGGCCGACUAAGCUAUUAUCGUACCUGAAAAGUGUAAUAAAAACGUGUACCUCGGCCAUUUUCGAGAUCGAGCCGUCAAAAAAUUUGUAUGGCAAAGUAAAUCUCGUGAUACUUGAGGGAGGCGAGGUGAAGUACAAUCAAGGAAUAGACUAUAGAGGCAUUCUGGCUAAGGACCGUUGGACAAAAAAGAAUACUGAUAAUAAAUAUAGAAGGUAAGAAGACAAAAAAAUAAAAACUUCCUCUCCUAGAGAGAAGGAAGAGGUAGUGAAUACCAAGAAACAAUUUAGAUAGCAGAUAUAAAUUUCUAUAAUCGUGAUUAUUGAAUCAAUAAAGAUAGAUUUCGUUACUGUGAACGAUAUUCCAUCUUUUCUGUCUUUAUCACUACAUUCUGGAAUAAUGUAAAGAAUUUAAGCCUAUUAUCUGUAUAUUAUAUUUUAU
RNAcentral lists this long non-coding RNA (3373 nucleotides) under Nicotiana benthamiana. RNAcentral describes it as "long non-coding RNA (NBEN_LNC032287)". Lineage: Eukaryota; Viridiplantae; Streptophyta; Magnoliopsida; Solanales; Solanaceae. The record is from RNAcentral.